AGCUCCAAUAGCGUAUAUUAAAGUUGUUGUGGUUAAAAAGCUCGUAGUUGGAUCUCGGCGGUCUGAGGGCGGUUCGCUUGAUUGAGUGCUACUGCUCUAUAGGCCGUGGUUUUGCCAGAGGUCUCGGGGUGCUCUUAACCGAGUGUCCUGCGAUGCUGGCAGGUUUACUUUGAAAAAAUUAGAGUGCUCAAAGCAGGCUUUUACGCCUGAAUAUUCGUGCAUGGAAUAAUAGAAUAGGAAGUCGUUUCUAUUUUGUUGGUUUUCGGAAAUCGACUUAAUGAUUAAUAGGGACAGUCGGGGGCAUUUGUAUUCAAACGACAGAGGUGAAAUUCUUGGACCGUUUGAAGACAAACUACUGCGAAAGCAUUUGCCAAGAAUGUUU
RNAcentral lists this ribosomal RNA (382 nucleotides) under uncultured eukaryote. Its description in RNAcentral is "SSU rRNA". It matches the Rfam family "Eukaryotic small subunit ribosomal RNA", at positions 587 to 969 of the family's 1831-position model. The record is from RNAcentral.